AAGCUGGUGAAUUCUUGAUUGUUGCCUCGACGAAGUCGACGAACUGUCACUCCGAUUUUGAAUUCCAUACUGUUCAGUCUCAAAUUUUAAACUCUCUGUUUGAAAAUUGAAAUCGCGCCGCGAAUAACAACUUAUAUUGAAAAUCCGUCGCAGGAUGAGGAUGGCCAGUGAAGACGAACUGAUCGACACCCUUUUGAUGCCCAAAGGCUUUUUGUUCCCGGCUCGAUUUGCGACUCUCCUUCGAGUUGGACGAUGAAUUCGCGGCGUUCUUCGACGUCGUUUUGGCCACCCUCCACGUUCGGGUUCUUCUUCUGAUCCUCUUCCUCCACGACCCGACCGUCCAAAGGCUCAACUUUGACACCAUCCUCUAAAAUUCAACAUGCGUCGCAAGAUCAGGAAGGCCAGUGAAGAGACGACUUGAUCGACACCUUGCUCAUGUCCAAGGCAUUUGUUCCAUCCUCGAUUUGCGACACAUUCGAGUUGGACGACGAAUUCGCGGCGUUCUUCGACUUUGAUGCUGUCGCGCAAAUCCAGCUCGCGACGGCCCAGUUUUCCGGGAUGGCUGGACCGCUAAUUUUCAUCUACUUGACCACCAACGGCUGGCCCGUCACCAGGCAGAUGAUCUAAAAUUCAACAUGCGUCGCAAGAUGAGGCAGGCCAGCGAAGACGACAUGAUCGACACCUUGUUCAUGCCCAAGGCUUUUGUUCCUUCCUCGAUUUGCGACUCAUUCGAGUUAGACGACGAGUUCGCGGCGUUUGACGUCGUUUUGGCCACCCUCCAUGUUCGGGUCCUUCUAUGAUCCUCUUCCUCCACGACCCAACCGUGCAAAGGCUCAACUUUGACACCGACCAUUCAUUACAAUCGCAUCCUUGCUUGAGUCAAGGACUUGACACGCAAGGCCAGCAGCGUCGAGUUGCUGGAAUUUGAAGAGAACUGCGGCCCUCCCGAGGUCCACGAGAACUUCGAUGCCGUCGCGCAAAUCCAGCCCGCGACGGCUCAGUUUUCCGGGAUGGCUGGACCACUCAUCUUCAUCUACUUGGCCUCCAACGGCUGACCCGUCACCAGGCAGAUGAACAUAAGCAGGAGAUGCUGGUCUGCGCCGGUCAACUCUACGCCCAAGGCAGGACAACGCUGGCUGUUGAGACCCAGGAGACCGUCGAACACCUGCGCCGAGUGUCAACUGCUUGUCAUCAUGCCAUCAACGCCAUCAAUGCCAGGUUUGACGUGAAAACGUUGGUCGAGCAUGAGGGAGACCUGCUGGCCGCGACGCGGAUGCGCAUCGAUGUCAGGGUCGCUUCUUUGGAGGAGGAGUUGAAGGAAACUGCUGGCUGAAGAGAAGGCCUGCCAGAAGCGAUGUCGUGAAGUGGACCCGACAUGCAACGACGAUCAGACGCCGCCAUCGAAGAAGUCCAAAGCUGGAUGGACAUCAAGGUGGAUCCCUUUCUGGUCUUGAAUUGCCUCAUCACUGCUAGCGCCGUUCAUGGUCUUCUCGUUCUUAUCCGAAAUAAACAAACACCAUGAUCCAAAAGCACGUAAACUAUAAUAACAAUGUAGUUUUUAUUCAUUCUUCUACCAAACAAACGGCACAAUUAACUGUGCAUGAUUUUAUAUUGUUUAAAAUUCAUUUUAAAACUCCUCUUUGCUGCAUUCAAUAAUUCUUACUUGGAAAAAUUUUGAUAAAAAUUAUAAAAAUAAUCUUUAUUUUGAAAGCAAAGUUGGUUCAAUGUGAAAGAAUUCUUAAUUGAUUUGAAAAUAUAAAAUCUGUUUUGUAAAAGUAUUCAUGUCGACCACUUUUUGAAUUUUGAUUUAUUUUUUGAACACUCGUUUGGCUCGGAGCUCUCUAAUUGUUCGACUCUUGCAAAAGCACGCAAAGUGGCCGCGCGCUCUCGUAAUUAAUUCUGAAUCUCGUACGUGUCUGAUGGGACGUCCUGCUCUUCGGGCCGAGGUCUGUCCUUCUUUGGCAGGGACUGCAACUGGCCGACACCACCCUGGCCAGAACAGCGGCUGAAUUUUGGCACCGAAGUUUCUACUCUGUUUUUAUCCAUUAUUGUUUUGUGCAAAAAAACCAUGUGAAUUCUAUGGCUAUUUCAAAUUAUACAAAUUCCUUUCAACUGCGAAAAGAAAUGUCGGUUUGAAAUGGCGACGAUUUAAAAAAUUCGGUUUCCAAGAAUUCUCAAAAAAAAUUUUUUAAAUAAUUCCUUAGCGAUUUUUUUUUUCAUUGUAAAAUAUUAUUUUACCUUCGGCAUUUCAUUUAUUGUGAA
Molecule: long non-coding RNA, 2262 nt
Organism: Neocloeon triangulifer
Lineage: Eukaryota; Metazoa; Arthropoda; Insecta; Ephemeroptera; Baetidae
Exons: 5
Source: RefSeq, a predicted model, not a curated record